AAGAAAUUCAAGCUGUUUACUAUUCAUGUCAUGAACUCUAGUGACAUGGUGCAAAAUCAGUCAUCUACACAUUGCGGUGCUGUUGUCUCAGGCUGUUUUUCUGCAAAGCAUUACCAGUAUUAUGAACUCGUCAUUGGAGCGAGCAGCCCUCCAAACUUCAUGCUUAAGUGGUCCACAGUGGCAAGUGGCGCCUGCAAUCGCAAGAGCAACAUGAAUUUCUAAGUCAACUUUACAUUAUGUAACAUUCACUUUUGCAGGCUUCAAAUAUUUAUACCUUUAGAAAUUUUAACCUUAAACUAUGCAUAAUUAUAUCGCAAGAGCAACAUGAAUUUCUAAGUCAACUUUACAUUAUGUAACAUUCACUUUUGCAGGCUUCAAAUAUUUAUACCUUUAGAAAUUUUAGCCUUAAACUAUGCAUAAUUAUAUGGAAAUUUUUUCCUACAACGCAUAUACAAAUAGAAACAUUAUAACCGUUAUUUCAAUAACUGUUAAUAGUUUAUGUUAUUGAUGUACUCAUGAUCAGAGCUUGAAGUGCAAAAUUAAAGCAAGUAACGUGUGUUUAAAACUUCACAAUAUACAAUGCGCAACUAUCCCUUCCAAGUCAUUGUAUUCUUGUCACCAUCAAUUCAAUGAUCAUUUUAACAUGUAGCAGGAUGCAAUUGAUGUUACGUACAACAUUGGUUAUUAAAGUGCCAUGUAUAUAUGCUAUGAAGAACUCCUUCUAACAUGUCACUGUAGAAACGUAU
This is a long non-coding RNA of Hyalella azteca, 746 nucleotides long. RefSeq lists it as uncharacterized. Lineage: Eukaryota; Metazoa; Arthropoda; Malacostraca; Amphipoda; Hyalellidae. The transcript is spliced from 3 exons. The record is from RefSeq and is a predicted model, not a curated record.